CCCCCUCAGCCCGUUUUACUGCAGCCGUUCCCACUUGUACCGUCUUUCACUUUGAGCUCGUCCUGUCCAGGCAGAACCCAGUCCGGUUCUACGGGGGUUCUGUUUGCUCUCCUUCGGACCGUUUGAACAAACUGUAAUUCCAUCAGAUUAUCCAGACAGGAUGGUUCAGAGUCUCUCUCAGGAAACCCAGCAGGUUGCAUCCAGUCACUGACCUGCAGCUUUCACUCCUCCUGGAUGAACAUGGAGCUACGGUGGACGGUUGCUGGAAUAGACUUGUUGACUUUGCAGCAAUCCCUCGUAUGGAGCAUUACUUUGCUGUAUAUGAUGGAAAUUUGACACAUUAUAUAUUGAAGUAUUUACAUUUUUCUUUGUUAUUUGACAGUAAAGAGCAUUUGUUUCUGUCAUUAAUGCUAGGAUCAGCAAUUCUUUUCUCACUGCUUCCUGUGAGUCAUUUCAAAAUAAAAUGAAAUCAAUGGUAAAA
Long non-coding RNA from Fundulus heteroclitus (mummichog), 481 nucleotides. RefSeq lists it as uncharacterized. The record is from RefSeq and is a predicted model, not a curated record. The transcript is spliced from 2 exons. Lineage: Eukaryota; Metazoa; Chordata; Actinopteri; Cyprinodontiformes; Fundulidae.